Molecule: ribosomal RNA, 1243 nt
Filed under: metagenome
Description: bacterial LSU rRNA
Rfam family: Bacterial large subunit ribosomal RNA
Source: RNAcentral
UGAAUACGAGACGCUAAGGCGUCGAAGUAGUGUAUGUCAUACUUCCAAGAAAAGCUUGCACUGUCAUAAGUAAAAAAUGCCUGUACCAUAACCGACACAGGUGGGUAGGUAGAGUAUACUAAGGGGCGCGAGAUAACUCUCUCUAAGGAACUCGGCAAAAUAACUCCGUAACUUCGGGAGAAGGAGUACCUUAUUCUAUAAGGUUGCAAUAACAAGAUCCAAGCAACUGUUUAUCAAAAACACAGGUCUCCGCUAAGUCGUAAGACGAUGUAUGGGGGCUGACGCCUGCCCAGUGCCAGAAGGUUAAAGAAGUCGGUUAGCAUUAGCGAAGCUGGUAACUGAAGCCCUGGUGAACGGCGGCCGUAACAAUAACGGUCCUAGGGUAGCGAAAUUCCUUGUCGGGUAAGUUCCGACCCGCACGAAAGGCGUAAUGAUUUGGAUACUGUCUCGGAGAGGGGCUCGGUGAAAUAGACUUGUCUGUGAAGAUGCGGACUACCUGCACCAGGACAGAAAGACCCUAUGAAGCUUUACUGUAACUUGAAAUUGAAAUUGGACUUUAUUCGCGCAGUAUAGGUGGGAGGUGUUGAUUAUAAUCUUGCGGGAUUAUUGGAGCCAUCAGUGAGAUACCACUCUUGUAAUGUUAGAUUUCUAACUUUGAAUCAUUAUCUGGUCAAAGGACAGUUUCAGGCGGGCAGUUUGACUGGGGCGGUCGCCUCCCAAACGGUAACGGAGGCGUACAAAGGUUUCCUCUGAACGGGUAGAAAUCGUAUCUAGAGUGUAAAGGCAUAAGGAAGCUUGACUGUGAGACCUACAAGUCGAACAGGGACGAAAGUCGGUCUUAGUGAUCUGACGGUACUGAGUGGAAAGGCCGUCACUCAACGGAUAAAAGUUACUCUAAGGAUAACAGGCUGAUCUCCCCCAAGAGUUCACAUCGACGGGGAGGUUUGGCACCUCGAUGUCGGCUCAUCGCAUCCUGGGGCGGUAGUACGUCCCAAGGGUUGGGCUGUUCGCCCAUGAAAGCGGUACGCGAGCUGGGUUCAGAACGUCGUGAGACAGUUCGGUCCAUAUCCGGUGUAGGCGUUAGAAUAUUGAGAGGAGCCUUCUUUAGUACGAGAGGACCGAGAAGGACAUACCUCUGGUGUACCAGUUAUCGUGCCAACGGUAAACGCUGGGUAGCUAUGUAUGGAGUGGAUAACCGCUGAAAGCAUCUAAGUGGGAAGCCCACCUCAAGAUAAGUAUUCCC